Molecule: ribosomal RNA, 468 nt
Filed under: uncultured bacterium
Lineage: Bacteria
Description: partial 16S ribosomal RNA
Rfam family: Bacterial small subunit ribosomal RNA
Source: RNAcentral
GACGAACGCUGGCGGCGUGCUUAACACAUGCAAGUCGAACGGAAAGGCCCUGCUUUUGUGGGGUGCUCGAGUGGCGAACGGGUGAGUAACACGUGAGUAACCUGCCCUUGACUUUGGGAUAACUUCAGGAAACUGGGGCUAAUACCGGAUAGGAGCUCCUGCUGCAUGGUGGGGGUUGGAAAGUUUCGGCGGUUGGGGAUGGACUCGCGGCUUAUCAGCUUGUUGGUGGGGUAGUGGCUUACCAAGGCUUUGACGGGUAGCCGGCCUGAGAGGGUGACCGGCCACAUUGGGAAUGAGCUACGGCCCAGACUCCUACGGGAGGCAGCAGUGGGGAAUAUUGCACAAUGGGCGGAAGCCUGAUGCAGCAACGCCGCGUGCGGGAUGACGGCCUUCGGGUUGUAAACCGCUUUCGCCUGUGACGAAGCGUGAGUGACGGUAAUGGGUAAAGAAGCACCGGCUAACUACGUG